CCUGCCGAAUGAAUUAGCCCUGAAAAUGGAUGGCGCUAAAACGUAUAGCCGAAACUAUACCAUCUGAAUUAAUUUAUUAUUCAGAUGAGUAGGAGGAACGUAACGGUUGUAUAGAAGCGUAUGUGCAAACAUUCGUGGAACGGNCGUUAGUGCAGAUCUUGGUGGUAGUAGCAAAUAUUCAAAUGUAAACCUUGAAGGGUGAAGCGGGGAAGGGUUUCAUGUCAACAUUAAUUGUACAUGAGUGAGUCGUUCCUAAGUCAUUUUAAAAUCAAAAAUGGCGAAAGGGAAAUAGGUUAAUAUUCCUAUACACGGAUGUGGAUGCGGUGACGCACUUUCUGUGGCGGUGAAGCUAUUAAAUACACUGGGCAGAGAUAUCUUUUCUGUUUAACAGAGCUAAUUUAUAUACUAUGAAAAUCGGUUUUCGAAAGAAAUAGAUAUGAAAUUGGUAAAGCACCGAAUAAAAAUUUGGUGUCCAGUUUGUAAUUAAUAGACCGUGAAAAGCUGUCUGCAGGCAAAUAAAAAUUUUUUUUGAGGGGGUAUACUUGAAAAAGAAAUUUCUAUUUGUAGUAAAAUCCACGCCGUAACGUACCGAUAAACCGCAUCAGGUCCCCAAGGUG
Molecule: ribosomal RNA, 617 nt
Filed under: Bostrychia kelanensis
Lineage: Eukaryota; Rhodophyta; Florideophyceae; Ceramiales; Rhodomelaceae
Description: eukaryotic LSU rRNA
Rfam family: Eukaryotic large subunit ribosomal RNA
Source: RNAcentral